This 442-nucleotide ribosomal RNA is filed under the name uncultured Anaerofustis sp. RNAcentral describes it as "bacterial SSU rRNA". It matches the Rfam family "Bacterial small subunit ribosomal RNA", at positions 338 to 795 of the family's 1533-position model. The record is from RNAcentral. Lineage: Bacteria; Bacillati; Bacillota; Clostridia; Eubacteriales; Eubacteriaceae.
CCUACGGGGGGCUGCAGUGGGGAAUAUUGCGCAAUGGGGGAAACCCUGACGCAGCAACGCCGCGUGAGUGAAGAAGGCUUUCGAGUCGUAAAACUCUGUCUUCAGGGAAGAAAAAAUGACGGUACCUGAGGAGGAAGCCCCGGCUAACUACGUGCCAGCAGCCGCGGUAAUACGUAGGGGGCAAGCGUUGUCCGGAAUCACUGGGCGUAAAGGGCGCGUAGGCGGUAUAUUAAGUCAGGUGUGAAAGUUUUCGGCUCAACCGGAAAAGUGCACUUGAAACUAAUUUACUUGAGUACUGGAGAGGUAAGCGGAAUUCCUAGUGUAGCGGUGAAAUGCGUAGAUAUUAGGAAGAACACCGGUGGCGAAGGCGGCUUACUGGACAGAUACUGACGCUGAGGCGCGAAAGCGUGGGGAGCAAACAGGAUUAGAUACCCCAGUAGUC